GUGCUAACUUCAGCAGCACAUACACUAAAAUUGGAAUGAGAGAGAAGAGAUUAGCAUGGCCCCUGCACAAGGAUGGCACAUAAAUUCAUGAAGCAUUCCAUAUUUUA
Molecule: small nuclear RNA, 107 nt
Organism: Vombatus ursinus (common wombat)
Lineage: Eukaryota; Metazoa; Chordata; Mammalia; Diprotodontia; Vombatidae
Source: Ensembl